GAUGAAGAACGCAGCGAAAUGCGAUAAGUAAUGUGAAUUGCAGAAUUCAGUGAAUCAUCGAAUCUUUGAACGCACCUUGCGCUCCUUGGCAUUCCGAGGAGCAUGCCUGUUUGAGUGUCAUUAAAUUCUCAAGACCUGUCUGCUUUUUUGAUAGGUAUUGGAUUUUGGGGGUUGCAGGCUGUUUCAAAUAAAUAGCCUUGCUCUCCUUGAAUGUAUUAGUGGAGAAAAGCCAUUGAACUCCAUUGGUGUGAUAAAACCUAUCAAUGCCAGGAGCAAUAUUACUACUUCUCUCUGCUGUCUAACUGUGACUGUCUGUAUUAAUUAGUAUGGAUGGGGACAACUUGACCAACUUGACCUCAAAUCAGGUAGGACUACCCGCUGAACUUAAGCAUAUCAAUAAGCGGAGGA
Molecule: unclassified non-coding RNA, 408 nt
Filed under: soil metagenome
Description: partial contains 5.8S ribosomal RNA, internal transcribed spacer 2, and large subunit ribosomal RNA
Rfam family: 5.8S ribosomal RNA (bases 1-120)
Source: RNAcentral